UGCCCAGAGGGUUACUGCUAAAAUGA
RNAcentral lists this non-coding RNA (26 nucleotides) under Homo sapiens (human). Lineage: Eukaryota; Metazoa; Chordata; Mammalia; Primates; Hominidae. The record is from RNAcentral.